This 449-nucleotide ribosomal RNA is filed under the name uncultured bacterium. Its description in RNAcentral is "partial 16S ribosomal RNA". It matches the Rfam family "Bacterial small subunit ribosomal RNA", at positions 339 to 795 of the family's 1533-position model. The record is from RNAcentral.
CUACGGGCCGCAGCAGUGGGGAAUAUUGCGCAAUGGGCGAAAGCCUGACGCAGCAACGCCGCGUGAGUGAUGAAGGCCUUCGGGUCGUAAAGCUCUAUCGGGAGGGAAGAACACCUUCGGGUCUGACGGUACCUCCCGAGGAAGCACAGGCUAACUCCGUGCCAGCAGCCGCGGUAAUACGGAGUGUGCAAGCGUUGUUCGGAAUUACUGGGCGUAAAGCGCGCGUAGGCGGCUUGAUAAGUCAGAUGUGAAAUCCCUCGGCUUAACCGAGGAACUGCAUUUGAAACUGUCAGGCUUGAGUACGGGAGGGGGAAGCGGAAUUCCCAGUGUAGAGGUGAAAUUCGUAGAUAUUGGGAGGAACACCAGCGGCGAAGGCGGCUUCCUGGACCGAUACUGACGCUGAGGCGCGAAAGCGUGGGGAGCAAACAGGAUUAGAUACCCCUGUAGUC